AACGAACGCUGGCGGCAGGCUUAACACAUGCAAGUCGAACGCACUCUUCGGAGUGAGUGGCAGACGGGUGAGUAACGCGUGGGAAUCUACCUAGCUCUUCGGAAUAGCUCCGGGAAACUGGAAUUAAUACCGAGUACGCCCUACGGGGGAAAGAUUUAUCGGAGUUAGAUGAGCCCGCGUUGGAUUAGCUAGUUGGUGGGGUAACGGCCUACCAAGGCGACGAUCCAUAGCUGGUCUGAGAGGAUGAUCAGCCACACUGGGACUGAGACACGGCCCAGACUCCUACGGGAGGCAGCAGUGGGGAAUAUUGGGCAAUGGGCGCAAGCCUGACCCAGCCAUGCCGCGUGAGUGAUGAAGGCCUUAGGGUUGUAAAGCUCUUUCAGUGGGGAAGAUAAUGACGGUACCCACAGAAGAAGCCCCGGCUAACUUCGUGCCAGCAGCCGCCGUAAGAC
RNAcentral lists this ribosomal RNA (452 nucleotides) under uncultured bacterium. RNAcentral's name for it is "bacterial SSU rRNA". It matches the Rfam family "Bacterial small subunit ribosomal RNA", at positions 29 to 526 of the family's 1533-position model. The record is from RNAcentral.